ACUAGUUUCAUAGUUCUUUAGGGUUACUUUUAAAACUCCUUGGAUAGCCUCCGCCAGCUCCCGGCAGGAGGCGUUUUUU
RNAcentral lists this small RNA (79 nucleotides) under Neisseria sicca ATCC 29256. Its description in RNAcentral is "Neisseria sigma-E sRNA". It matches the Rfam family "Neisseria sigma-E sRNA". Lineage: Bacteria; Pseudomonadati; Pseudomonadota; Betaproteobacteria; Neisseriales; Neisseriaceae. The record is from Rfam by way of RNAcentral.